Transfer RNA from Ovis aries (sheep), 57 nucleotides. It matches the Rfam family "tRNA", at positions 8 to 63 of the family's 71-position model. From Rfam's summary of the family: Transfer RNA (tRNA) molecules are approximately 80 nucleotides in length. Their secondary structure includes four short double-helical elements and three loops (D, anti-codon, and T loops). Lineage: Eukaryota; Metazoa; Chordata; Mammalia; Artiodactyla; Bovidae. The record is from Rfam.
UAGCUCAGCAGUUAAAGCGUCUGCCUGCAAUGCAGGAGACCCAGUUUCGAUCCCUGG